UACCGAGGGUAGCGAGCGUUAAGUCGGAAUACUAGGGGCGUAAGCGCAUGCAGGUGGUUGUUAAGUCAGAUGUGAAAGCCCGGGGCUCAACCUCGGAAUAGCAUUUGAAACUGGCAAGCUAGAGUACUGUAGAGGGGGGUAGAAUUUCAGGUGUAGCGGUGAAAUGCGUAGAGAUCUGAAGGAAUACCGGUAGGCAAAGGCGGCCCCCUGGACAGAUACUGACACUCAGAUGCGAAAGCGUGGGGAGCAAACAGGAUUAGAUACCCGUGUAGU
This 273-nucleotide ribosomal RNA is filed under the name uncultured bacterium. RNAcentral describes it as "partial 16S ribosomal RNA". It matches the Rfam family "Bacterial small subunit ribosomal RNA", at positions 523 to 794 of the family's 1533-position model. The record is from RNAcentral.